GAUGAACGCUGGCGGCGUGCUUAACACAUGCAAGUCGAACGGUGAAGGCGGAGCUUGCUCUGCUGGAUCAGUGGCGAACGGGUGAGUAACACGUGAGCAAUCUGCCCCUGACUCUGGGAUAAGCGCUGGAAACGGCGUCUAAUACUGGAUACGAGCUGCGAAGGCAUCUUCAGCAGCUGGAAAGAAUUUCGGUCAGGGAUGAGCUCGCGGCCUAUCAGCUUGUUGGUGAGGUAAUGGCUCACCAAGGCGUCGACGGGUAGCCGGCCUGAGAGGGUGACCGGCCACACUGGGACUGAGACACGGCCCAGACUCCUACGGGAGGCAGCAGUGGGGAAUAUUGCACAAUGGGCGAAAGCCUGAUGCAGCAACGCCGCGUGAGGGACGACGGCCUUCGGGUUGUAAACCUCUUUUAGCAGGGAAGAAGCGAAAGUGACGGUACCUGCAGAAAAAGCGCCAGCUAACUACGUG
This 468-nucleotide ribosomal RNA is filed under the name uncultured bacterium. Its description in RNAcentral is "partial 16S ribosomal RNA". It matches the Rfam family "Bacterial small subunit ribosomal RNA", at positions 28 to 507 of the family's 1533-position model. The record is from RNAcentral.